AAAUAUUAUAAAAAUGGUGUGCAAUUNUUUCCAUAUAAGGACAUUGUAAUCUGUUAAUGUANNAUAAAUAUUUAUCAUAAGAUUCAAUAAUAAAAAGUUUAUUCAAAUUAGUUAUUUUCGGAUUUCUAACAUANAAUAAAUUUUAUUGAAUUUGAUAAAUCAUUGACAGAUUUAUUUAUAUAUAGUGCUUAAAUUCUUUAUUGAAUUUUACAAUAAUUUUUAAAUGUANUUUUCAUUUAUUAAUUNNNUAUUGUAUGCACUUAUAUGAUUAACAAUGCUAUANAUUCAGGAUACCUUCGGGACCCGUCUUGAAACACGGACCAAGGAGUCUAACAUAUGUGCAAGUCAUUGGGUAUUUUUAAUAAAACCCAAAGGCAUAAUUAACUUAACUGUNNNNNUUUUNNNNNNNNUAUGGGAUUAGUUUAUAUUUUAUUAUGAAAUAUGAAUUCAAUCCCGGGGCGUUCUAUAUAGUUAUGUAUAAUAAUAUUUAUAUUAUUUAUGCCUCUAACU
This 510-nucleotide ribosomal RNA is filed under the name Merodon erivanicus. RNAcentral describes it as "partial 28S ribosomal RNA". The record is from RNAcentral. Lineage: Eukaryota; Metazoa; Arthropoda; Insecta; Diptera; Syrphidae.